Molecule: non-coding RNA, 226 nt
Organism: Pelobates cultripes (western spadefoot toad)
Lineage: Eukaryota; Metazoa; Chordata; Amphibia; Anura; Pelobatidae
Source: the annotation of a GenBank genome assembly
CCAGACACACACAGCAUCCAGACACACACAGCAUCCAGACACACACAGCGCACCCAGACACACACGGCGCCCCCAGACACACACAGCGCCCCCAGACACACAGCGCACCCAGACACACACAGGAUCCAAACACACACAGCGCACCCAGACACACACAGAGCACCCAGACACACACAGCGCACCCAGACACACACAGCACCCAGACACACACAGCGCACCCAGACAC